AGAGUUUGAUCAUGGCUCAGAACGAACGCUGGCGGCAUGCCUAACACAUGCAAGUCGAACGGUUCCUUCGGGGACAGUGGCAGACGGGUGAGUAACACGUGGGAAUCUACCUGGUUCUUCGGGAUAACAGUUGGAAACGACUGCUAAUACCGGAUACGCCCUUUUGGGGAAAGAUUUAUCGGAAUCAGAUGAGGCCCGCGUAAGAUUAGCUAGUUGGUGAGGUAAUGGCUCACCAAGGCGACGAUCUUUAGCUGGUCUGAGAGGAUGAUCAGCCACACUGGGACUGAGACACGGCCCAGACUCCUACGGGAGGCAGCAGUGGGGAAUAUUGGACAAUGGGCGCAAGCCUGAUCCAGCCAUGCCGCGUGAGUGAUGAAGGCCUUAGGGUUGUAAAGCUCUUUCACCCGGUGAAGAUGAUGACGGUACCCGCAGAAGAAGCCACGGCUAACUACGUGCCAGCAGCCGCGGUAAUACGUAGGUGGCAAGCGUUAUCCGGAAUUAUUGGGCGUAAAGCGCGCGCAGGCGGUCCCUUUAAGUCUGAUGUGAAAGCCCACGGCUCAACCGUGGAGGGUCAUUGGAAACUGGGGGACUUGAGUGCAGGAGAGAAGAGUGGAAUUCCACGUGUAGCGGUGAAAUGCGUAGAGAUGUGGAGGAACACCAGUGGCGAAGGCGACUCUUUGGCCUGUAACUGACGCUGAGGCGCGAAAGCGUGGGGGAGCAAACAGGAUUAGAUACCCUGGUAGUCCACGCCGUAAACGAUGAGUGCUAAGUGUUAGAGGGUUUCCGCCCUUUAGUGCUGCAGUAAACGCAUUAAGCACUCCGCCUGGGGAGUACGGCCGCAAGGCUGAAACUCAAAGGAAUUGACGGGGGCCCGCACAAGCGGUGGAGCAUGUGGUUUAAUUCGAAGCAACGCGAAGAACCUUACCAGGUCUUGACAUCCUCUGACAAUCCUAGAGAUAGGACUUUCCCCUUCGGGGGACAGAGUGACAGGUGGUGCAUGGUUGUCGUCAGCUCGUGUCGUGAGAUGUUGGGUUAAGUCCCGCAACGAGCGCAACCCUUGAUCUUAGUUGCCAGCAUUCAGUUGGGCACUCUAAGGAGACUGCCGGUGACAAACCGGAGGAAGGUGGGGAUGACGUCAAAUCUCCAUGCCCCUUUUGACCUGGGCUACACACUUGCUACAAUGGAUGGUACAAAGGGCUGCAAGACCGUGAGGUUUAGCCAAUCCCAUAAAACCAUUCUCAGUUCGGAUUGUAGGCUGCAACUCGCCUACAUGAAGCCGGAAUCGCUAGUAAUCGUGGAUCAGCAUGCCACGGUGAAUACGUUCCCGGGUCUUGUACACACCGCCCGUC
RNAcentral lists this ribosomal RNA (1349 nucleotides) under uncultured Bacillus sp. RNAcentral describes it as "partial 16S ribosomal RNA". It matches the Rfam family "Bacterial small subunit ribosomal RNA". The record is from RNAcentral. Lineage: Bacteria; Bacillati; Bacillota; Bacilli; Caryophanales; Bacillaceae.